This 64-nucleotide transfer RNA is filed under the name Scolytinae sp. BMNH 1274287. RNAcentral describes it as "tRNA-Asn". Lineage: Eukaryota; Metazoa; Arthropoda; Insecta; Coleoptera; Curculionidae. The record is from RNAcentral.
UUAAUUGAAACCAAAGCAGAGGUAUAUCACUGUUAAUGAUAAAAAUGGAAAAUUCCCAAUUAAA